ACUCCUACGGGAGGCAGCAGUGGGGAAUAUUGGACAAUGGGCGCAAGCCUGAUCCAGCCAUGCCGCGUGAGUGAUGAAGGCCCUAGGGUUGUAAAGCUCUUUCACCGGUGAAGAUAAUGACGGUAACCGGAGAAGAAGCCCCGGCUAACUUCGUGCCAGCAGCCGCGGUAAUACGAAGGGGGCUAGCGUUGUUCGGAUUUACUGGGCGUAAAGCGCACGUAGGCGGACUAUUAAGUCAGGGGUGAAAUCCCGGGGCUCAACCCCGGAACUGCCUUUGAUACUGGUAGUCUUGAGUUCGAGAGAAGUGAGUGGAAUUCCGAGUGUAGAGGUGAAAUGCGUAGAUAUUCGGAGGAACACCAGUGGCGAAGGCGGCUCACUGGCUCGAUACUGACGCUGAGGUGCGAAAGCGUGGGGAGCAAACAGGAUUAGAUACCCCUGUAGUCCCAU
Molecule: ribosomal RNA, 447 nt
Filed under: uncultured organism
Description: partial 16S ribosomal RNA
Rfam family: Bacterial small subunit ribosomal RNA
Source: RNAcentral